Molecule: long non-coding RNA, 5188 nt
Filed under: Homo sapiens (human)
Lineage: Eukaryota; Metazoa; Chordata; Mammalia; Primates; Hominidae
Description: non-protein coding SMIM15-AS1:21
Source: RNAcentral
AGACCCGCGUGGCCCCUGCGGCUGCAACGGGUAGCACUUGACGGCCGUCCGCACUUCCUCCUUUGUCUUUCCCUUAUUCCUUACGUUUCUCCCUUGCUCACUCUUCCCUCCUUACCCUAUCGGGGCUGCAGACCCACGGAGGCCACGUUCACUCCUGCCCGUCGGCCUUGGCAAGCGCGGGCCCCUUGUCGCGCAGAGCGGAGGGUCCUGGGAGAUCCUGGGUUGGCCCAGCCACACCUUGCGCCGCCGCCGUUUCUGCUGGACACCAGGAGAAAACCACGGCAGCUGCAGCCACCAACUUCCCCUACAUAGCCCCACGGGAUCGGAUCCCACUCCCCACUCACCGCCAGACCGGAAGCAGGAAGGCGGAAGUCGCGGCCUUUGCGUCCCGCCCACAGGCGACCCGAGCCGCCAGCCGGGCGUGACUUCUCCAUCAUCUUCCUCCACCUGAUUCGUAGAGACCUCUGGACAUCUGAGCCUAAGCAGGGCCACUAAAUGAGAGAGAAUCCCAUCACUGAAAAGCAACAAUGAAUAUAUUAAGGACCACAGGAGAGAUAGAAGAAAUAUUGCAACUGAAGCUGCUAGAUGGUUAUGAUUAUCUGAAUAGGUGUGAUCUUGACUUUAGCGAAUUAACAGAGAAUGGAAUCUCUCCACGUUGCCCAAGCAGGUCUCGAACUCCUGUACUUGAGCUAUUCUCCCACCUCUGCCUCCCUAAGUGCUGGGAUUACAAGCGUGAGCCACUGUUCAUGGCCUUAGGGACUUUUAAAUGUUAAAUUGAUUUUGACCUACCCAGGAGCUAGAGAAUACCAAUGAUUACAGAGGGGAGAAUAAAAUUGCCGUAUAGAUUUUCUGUGCUCCUUUAGAAAAUCCAUUCUGGAGUAAAGAGAUGGGCAAUUGGUCAACUGAGUUUCUUUCUUGUAUAAUAUGUCAGAGUUUGAUAUUGUCAGUCUGUUAACCAAGAUUUUUAUUGGGAUAUUUGCUGAAAGAGGCUCUAAGAAUAUCCCAUCACCAGUAAUUAGAAUUUGUUACAGGUUUCAGUCAGGGUAGUUGAAAGGGAGCUAAUUUGGUAACACAAUAACCUAGUACCCAACUAAUUCAGGAGCAUGAAGAAAAAUUGGUUGAUUAAGGCUUAAGUCAGAUAAAUAAUACUAUAGGUUGACAUGGCUGGGUUAGCUCAGGUUUGUAUAUUUGUUUUUUCAAAGAGGCAGACUUUUCCUAAGAUUAGAAUCCACAGUAAUGAUGGAAGCAGGAAACUUAGGGGCAGGCCAUAGGUGUAAAAUCAAAGUUGAGCUGCUUCUGUGUUACAGCUGUAAGCACAGGAAGUUGCCCAUUUUUUUCAAGCACUAUUUCUGCAUAGUCAUAUAUCAGCUAGUGUUGUCAACAUAGACACAAGAGACAAUAGGAAUACGUACAUGCAAUUCCACCAUCAGCUAAAAAACCCACAUAAGUCUUUGAAGCUCUCAAAUAACACGCAUGACACUGAAUGGUACAUUUUGAUGCACUUUGAAACUCUUAUCUCUUUAGUUGGUAAGUACAUUUGAACACUUAAUAUGUGCUCAGCAGAAGAGAAGGAGAACAAGGGAAGUCUAAUAUAAAAUCAGGAUUUUUUCUUUUCUCUUUGAAGCCAAUUAGAAUGUGUGUAUGUGUGUGUGUGUGUGUGUGUGUGUGUGCGUGUGUGUGUGUGUGUGUGUGUAUUAUUUAGUGUAGUAAUCCUUGGGUUUUUUUUAAAAAAACGUGUUUUACUAUGAAGUGUAACAUACAAGAAAGUGAUAACAUAUGACAUAUACAGCUUACAAAUGGUUGUAAGAAUUAAUACACUUUGUAAGUGCCACCCAUGGUAAAAAUAAGUAGGUGGAGAAGGAGGAGAAGAAAAGAAGAAUUUAACUAGCAUGUCAGAAGUCUCAUGGAUCUCUUUCCAGUCACAACCCUCUCACCAAGCUCGAUUCCUAUUCCCUGAGUAAGUUCUAAUCUUACUUUUCUUUUUUUUUUUUUUUUUGAGAGAGAGUCUGACUCUGUCACCCAAGCUAGAGUGGUGCAAUCUCGGUUCACUGCAAUCUCUGCCUCCUGGGUUCAAGUGAUUCUCCUGCCUCAGCCUCCCGAGUAGCUGGGAUUACAGGCAUGUGCCACCAUGCUGUGCUAAUUUUUGUAUUUUUAGUAGAGAUGGGUUUUCGCCAUGUUGGCCAGGCUAGUCUUGAACUCCUGACCUUAGGUGAUCCGCCCGCCACAGCCUCCCAAAGUGCUAGUAUUACAGGCAUCAGCCACCGUGCCCAGCCUAAUCUUACUUUUAAAGUAAUCAUUUAUUGCUUUUCUUUACAGUUUACCACUUGGAUGUGCAUCCAUAUGUACCAUAUACAACCAUAGAGUUUAGUGUUGUGUGUCUGGAAACUUUACAGAAUGAGGUCAUACUUUAUAUAUUCUUUUGUCUUGUUUCUUUCACUUGUUAUCUAUGAUGUUGAAUGUAGAUGCAGUCUGUUCAUUUUCAUUGCUAUGUAGUAUUCCAUUAAAUAAACGACAACUUAUUUAUCCAUUCUACUAUGUUGGACAUCUGGGUUGCUUACAGUUUGCAUUACAGAUAAUGUUCCUGUGAAUAUAGUUAUGCUAUCCCUUGGUGCAUAUAGGCUUGCAUUUCUGUUGGACAUAGUCCUAGUCAGUAAAAAGGAAUAUGACAGAAGUCAAUGAAACUGUCUUUUUCUGAAUGAAAAUUUAGUGAGCCAGUAAUCUAAUGAGGAAAACAGCUGUUCUUUUUGUUAUUCUAAUGGUAGGUGCUGUCUGGAUAUAAAGAUGACCAUUUCAUUUGCUUAAUAUGAAUGUCUACAAGUAUGUUUCACCAAGAAAAUAAAAUACAUUUUAGUUUUAAACCAUAUCUGGUAUUAUUUCUAGAAUUCUAAAAUUAACAGGAUAAAAAGUCCUUAGAGGGCAAGGAUUCUUUCAUUUUUUAAAUGUACUUCACAGUGACCAUAGCAAUGCUAUUAAGAUGCUGAAUCCCAACCAAAUAUGCAUUCUCUUGACAAAUAUACUUUGGAGUAAAAUUAUUUGUACAAAUGCAUAUAACUUUUCAGAUGUCCAGAACUUUAAUUUUUCCUUUAUUCUAAAAAGGGGGAAAAGAUGGAUUCCUUUAACUUAAAACUGUUUCUGUUUUGAAAGCCUCUAUCCUGAAAGAUAGAAAAUAAUAGUUUUGAUGAAUCCAUGUAAUAUUCUGUGUUCUUCACAAUUUUUCUUACAACAUUAUUCCUCUAUACAUGUUCUUAGUAUAGAUAAUAUUAAUGUAUUUCUGAGGCCAUUAAUAAUUAUAAUUUGGGCCUUUUGUUUGCCUUUUGAACCUGGAAGACAAAAUAGAUAGUAUAUUAAGAUGCAAAUGUAUAUUUUCUAAUGGACUUGUGCUUCAAAGCAUAUGUAUUUUAGGGCUUGGCCUGAUUUUGCCAGCUAAGGCCAGAUCAUUGUAAAUUGAUUUCAAUAUCUUUCUGCUUUUAUAAGCUUUGUUCUAAAGCUUCACAGGAAGAAUCAAAAUAAUGUUUGUCACACUGUUCUAGCUUAGCUGAAAUCUUGUUCCUGUUUACACUAAAUGACCAUUGGCCUAAUGCAGUUAACAUGAGUACUUUACAACUCAUCCAAGAACUAUUUCAAGUGUUGAGGAAAAGGCACUUUAAUUGAAAAAUUACUUAUGCAGGAUCAGACUGAGCGAGAAUGCUGUUUUUUGUACAUUCAGCAUAUUACACAUACCACGCUCCAUUUUGCUCCUUUGUUAUAACAAAUGAAUUCUUUUUUGCAAUGAAAGGAUUCUUAUGGUUUAUCUUCCUUGGGGAUUGUAACUUUCAAAAGGUGCUCUUAAAUAUAUUACUACUUUAUUUAAACUAUUCACUUCCCAGAUGUGCAGUGCUUUGCACAAAGAAUAAUUCACUAAUGCCUUGAGCACACAAAAGGAAAAUGCUCUGCUGGGUUUCCCUUUUUAUUUUACUUUCCAGUGGUAGGUUUAUGACUUGAUGCCCAGCUUCUUAAUAAAUUCACCUCUCACAGGACACAGUUCUCUUUAAUAUGUUUUCCAUGCUUAUAGAAAGAAACACUGUAUUAGCAAACACCAGUAGAAAUUUCAUUUUCACCACGUUGCUUUCUCUGGGUAUAUAUAGAGAAACCCCUUAAAGGGCUUCUCCAGGACAACUGAAAGUUAUCUUUUUCAUUGAUCUCUUCUGUGGCUUUAAAAUAUUUUCUUGACAACAUAUUGUUUUUAUUAAUCUAAAUUAAGCAUUUUAGAUUCUUUUAUGAAUUUAAAAGAUAUUAAAACCAAAGAAUUGGAAAAAUAUCUAAGAAAAGUUACUAAUUUCCAUGGUGGGGUAUAGAGUUGGUGUGUGUAGGAAGUUAUACAGGCAGAGGAGCAUUGGAAGAAAAGUGGUGUUUAAGGAAGAUUACUGUAAACUGGCAGCAGGCAAGAGUCCAGGACGUUUACCCUUCCACCAAGUUUUCCCAGCCUGCUCUAGCCAUGCUAUUAUUUUACAAGCUCCUAUACAUAUUAUAUAAUAUAUAAGCAAGAAUGGAUGGAUGGGUCAAAAUAAAAUGCUUCUAUCAGCAAGUUCCCUUGAUAAGACAGCAAUGGUCAAAAUUCACAUGAAAUAAAAAGAUCUUGGAUAUGGUUUCUUCCCGGGACUUAGAACUUUAAUAUGUUAAUGUACGUCUUGAGGUUCCAAAAAGGGCCUUAUAUUUCAAGGAAUGCUGGUGUUUCAAGCAACAGAGUUUGGGAAACAACAAGGUAAAUGAUAAUCUAAUGCAUUUAGGUAAGAGGUAAGUGAAAGUUAGAAUAUAUGCUUGAGCAACAUGUAACCAUAAUGGCUGUGGAGUCCCAGCUUUGAAUAUCUUGGAAGAAUAGACAAUUAUCAAUGUUCCUCCCUCUCAAAUGAUCCUUCUCAACACAGGUUGUGCUUGAUGAAUCUUUAAGAACAGAAUCUUAGCAGGAUUUUGUCAAAUGCCUUUUCUUCAUCUGUUGAGAUAAUCAUGUUUUUCUCUUUUAGUGUAUUAGCAUGAUGAAUUCCAUUGAUUGAUUUUCUAAUGUUAAACCAAUCCUACAUUUUUCAGAUGAACCCCACUUGGUUAUGACGUACUAUCCUUUUAUCCCUUUAAUAUAUUGUAUUUGAUACUCUAAAAUUUUGUUUAGAAUUUUUACAUCUAUGUUCAUAAGGGAUACUGGUUUGUAGUUUCC